This 497-nucleotide ribosomal RNA is filed under the name uncultured bacterium. RNAcentral describes it as "bacterial SSU rRNA". It matches the Rfam family "Bacterial small subunit ribosomal RNA", at positions 266 to 754 of the family's 1533-position model. The record is from RNAcentral.
UACCAAGGCUACGACGGGUAGCUGGUCUAAGAGGAUGGCCAGCCACGACUGGAACUGAGACACGGUCCAGACUCCUACGGGAGGCAGCAGUGGGGAAUCUUGCGCAAUGGGCGAAAGCCUGACGCAGCGACGCCGCGUGGGUGACGAAGGCCUUCGGGUUGUAAAGCCCUGUGGGGUAGAACGAACUGGCAUCGGGCUAAUAUCCCGGUGUCUUGACGGUACUGCCUUAGCAAGCAUCGGCUAACUCUGUGCCAGCAGCCGCGGUAAGACAGAGGAUGCGAACGUUAAUCGGAAUUACUGGGCGUAAAGGGUGCGUAGGUGGUUUUUAAGUCAGAUGUGAAAUCCCUGGGCUCAACCUAGGAAUUGCAUUUGAUACUGAAUAACUUGAGUAUGGUAGAGGGAAGUGGAAUUUCCAGUGUAGCGGUGAAAUGCGUAGAUAUUGGAAGGAACAUCAGUGGCGAAGGCGACUUCCUGGACCAUUACUGACACUGAGGCAC